This 426-nucleotide ribosomal RNA is filed under the name uncultured bacterium. Its description in RNAcentral is "partial 16S ribosomal RNA". It matches the Rfam family "Bacterial small subunit ribosomal RNA", at positions 354 to 796 of the family's 1533-position model. The record is from RNAcentral.
GUGAGGAAUUUUCCGCAAUGGGCGAAAGCCUGUCGGAGCAAUGCCGCGUGAAGGAUGAAGGCCUAUGGGUUGUAAACUUCUUUUCUUAGAGAAGAAUAUUGACGGUAUCUGAGGAAUAAGCAUCAGCUAACUCUGUGCCAGCAGCCGCGGUAAGACAGAGGAUGCAAGGGUUAUCCGGAAUGAUUGGGCGUAAAGCGUCUGUAGGUGGCUUCAAAAGUCUCCUGUCAAAGAUCAGGGCUUAACCCUGGGCCGGCAGGAGAAGCUCUGAGGCUAGAGUGUGGUAGGGGCAGAAGGAAUUCCCGGUGGAGCGGUGAAAUGCGUAGAGAUCGGGAGGAACACCAAAGGCGAAAGCACUCUGCUGGGCCACAACUGACACUGAGAGACGAAAGCGAGGGGAGCAAAAGGGAUUAGAAACCCGUGUAGUCC